GAAAUAUAAAUAUAUUAAGCUGCUAACUUAAUUAAUAGUGAUUAAAUUCAUUAAUAUUUCU
Molecule: transfer RNA, 61 nt
Filed under: Archon apollinus (false apollo)
Lineage: Eukaryota; Metazoa; Arthropoda; Insecta; Lepidoptera; Papilionidae
Description: tRNA-Ser
Source: RNAcentral